CGAAUGCUGACAUAAGUAACGAUAAAGCGGGUGAAAAGCCCGCUCGCCGGAAGACCAAGGGUUCCUGUCCAACGUUAAUCGGGGCAGGGUGAGUCGACCCCUAAGGCGAGGCCGAAAGGCGUAGUCGAUGGGAAACAGGUUAAUAUUCCUGUACUUGGUGUUACUGCGAAGGGGGGACGGAGAAGGCUAUGUUGGCCGGGCGACGGUUGUCCCGGUUUAAGCGUGUAGGCUGGUUUUCCAGGCAAAUCCGGAAAAUCAAGGCUGAGGCGUGAUGACGAGGCACUACGGUGCUGAAGCAACAA
Molecule: ribosomal RNA, 302 nt
Filed under: Escherichia coli
Lineage: Bacteria; Pseudomonadati; Pseudomonadota; Gammaproteobacteria; Enterobacterales; Enterobacteriaceae
Description: partial 23S ribosomal RNA
Rfam family: Bacterial large subunit ribosomal RNA
Source: RNAcentral